AGGAAGACAAAGAAGGUGUUUUCCAUCAGGUACCGGUGCACCCAGGGCAGCCAGGAGACCCUGGGGCCUGCCGCCUCCAGGUGGCGCACCCACACCCUGCCGGCCUCGUACAUGGUGUCCAGGGUCCGGAAGGGGCCGCAGGUGCUCGAGGGCUUCACCCUGGGGAAGAUGCCGACCAGGAACCCUCACCCCGAGCAACAGUUCACCCGGCUCCCUCCCAGCCCGUCCUCUGCACCCCUAAGCCUUGGGCCCCCCAGGCACCACCACCCAACCCCCAGAUGACACAGAAGGGUCUCCCUCCACCCGCCCCACUCACUGCCAGACGGCGUAGCAGAGGAAGACAGCGGCGCCCAGGAAGGCGGGGAAGCAGAGCAGCGUGAGGAAGACGGUGCUCAUGUGUGAGGCCAGCCAGGGCCGGCGCGGCGCCUGGCAGUUGGCCAGAAGGCUGGUCUGUGGGGAAAGGCUGCGCUCUGCCACCAUCCUGCUACCCCUCAGCACCCCUCCAAGCCCUGGGGGAGCUCAAGAGGGAAGGGCGACCAGGGCUGUGCGUCCAGGCAGAGCCUGGACCCUGCUCCCUGCAGCCUCCUCAUUUACAGAGGAAGACAGAAGCCUGCCGGUCACUUGCACGCAAACGGGUGAUGCCAACAGCACCUCCAUCUGCUGAAGGUCGCUGCCAUGCCAGGCUCUGCACACAACACUGUACACACCACCUCCCUCAGUCCCCACUGGAACAUGGUCCCCACUGCAGGGAUGAGGAAACAAAAGGCCAGACGAGACAGGAGCCAGGAUGGCCAGGUUUGGAUACACCCGGAGCUAAACAACCAGUAUCAGCUCCAGCACCAAAUGAUGUUUUCAUGUGCGGCCACACACCUGCAGAUGGCCACGUACACCUCCAGUACCGGGGAGUCAUGCGGCUCCAGGGCGGCCAGGACACGGCACAGGUAGGGGGCCCCCAGGUUGAGGAGGCCAACCACCAGGGGCAGGACCAGCAGCACAGCCUCCUGGCCAGCAGCC
RNAcentral lists this long non-coding RNA (1014 nucleotides) under Homo sapiens (human). Its description in RNAcentral is "long non-coding RNA NONHSAT056187.2". The record is from RNAcentral. Lineage: Eukaryota; Metazoa; Chordata; Mammalia; Primates; Hominidae.